UGCAGCACAACAUCCCUCAUGGAAAUCAAGCUGGAAAUCAAGCAUCUAGACAACUUCAUAGAAGCAAUUCUAGUUUUCUGGAGGCCAAAAGCCAGCUUCAAGAGCACACAGUGACAUCUAGUAGCAGUUUGAUGAAGUACAAGCAAAUGAGCAAUUUCCUUCUUCAGCGCCACAAAUUUUGUGUUGGGGUACAGAACAUGCAGACAGAAGCUAUGUGCCUACAGCUUAUAUGAGUAGAGGCUCAAUGUGUGCACAAAGUAAGCAGAGGGCUACUCAGGCACCACGUAGGAGGCUGGUGACUCAAAGAGAUUGCAGCCCAGCACAGUCAUGGACAGGUAAAUGGGCAGCGGCUGCCCCGUGUAUAAUUACUGCAUCCAGAACCC
Hemicordylus capensis (graceful crag lizard) is the source of this 383-nucleotide long non-coding RNA. RefSeq lists it as uncharacterized. Lineage: Eukaryota; Metazoa; Chordata; Lepidosauria; Squamata; Cordylidae. The record is from RefSeq and is a predicted model, not a curated record. The transcript is spliced from 3 exons.